Molecule: ribosomal RNA, 253 nt
Filed under: uncultured bacterium
Lineage: Bacteria
Description: partial 16S ribosomal RNA
Rfam family: Bacterial small subunit ribosomal RNA
Source: RNAcentral
GACGUAGGGGGCCAGCGUUGUUCGGAAUUACUGGGUGUAAAGGGUUCGUAGGCGGUGCGGCAAGUUGGGAGUGAAAUCUCUGGGCUUAACCCAGAGGCUGCUUCCAAAACUGCUGUGCUUGAGUGUGGGAGAGGCGCGUGGAAUUGCAGGUGUAGCGGUGAAAUGCGUAGAUAUCUGCAGGAACACCCGUGGCGAAAGCGGCGCGCUGGACCACUACUGACGCUGAGGCGCGAAAGCUAGGGGAGCAAACGGG